GUUCAAACCGUGACUCAAGGCUGCUGGAAAUCAAUUCAAGGGCUGAAGAGAUCUUUGUAUCCCACAAACUUUUAUACCGAAACCGUGCACACUGGAUUGGGAAAUGCGAAGCCGGGACUGUGGGCUUGGCCCUCCUGUACAAUGCGUCCCCGGGGACGUCCGACUGUAGAGACUGC
Hypanus sabinus (Atlantic stingray) is the source of this 176-nucleotide long non-coding RNA. RefSeq lists it as uncharacterized. The record is from RefSeq and is a predicted model, not a curated record. Lineage: Eukaryota; Metazoa; Chordata; Chondrichthyes; Myliobatiformes; Dasyatidae. The transcript is spliced from 3 exons.